GACGAACCGUGCGAACGUUGUUCGGAUUCACUGGGCUUAAAGGGCGCGUAGGCGGCUUGCCAAGUCAGGGGUGAAAUCUUUCGGCUCAACCGGAAAACUGCCCCUGAUACUGGCGGGCUGGAGGGAGGUAGGGGCAGACGGAACUUCCGGUGGAGCGGUGAAAUGCGUAGAUAUCGGAAGGAACGCCGGUGGCGAAAGCGGUCUGCUGGACCUCUUCUGACGCUGAGGCGCGAAAGCCAGGGGAGCAAACGGG
Molecule: ribosomal RNA, 253 nt
Filed under: uncultured bacterium
Lineage: Bacteria
Description: partial 16S ribosomal RNA
Rfam family: Bacterial small subunit ribosomal RNA
Source: RNAcentral